Molecule: long non-coding RNA, 373 nt
Organism: Gavialis gangeticus (Gharial)
Lineage: Eukaryota; Metazoa; Chordata; Crocodylia; Gavialidae
Exons: 3
Source: RefSeq, a predicted model, not a curated record
GGCAACAAGAAAUGUGAAGGUGCAUGAGUCAUCUGGAGCAGAACCGCUUGAAUGGAGCAAAUAAAGCCUUAAUGUCAGCUUCCCUCUUAAUACUGCUGCUGACUGAAAAAUUGUGGGGAGGAGAGUCAAUUAGGCGGGAGGAAAGAUAAUCCAGCAAGUUUGCAGGCCAAAUGGCUUUCUGAAUAUGAGCCCACAAAGCAUUGAAUCAGACAGCAUACUGCUCAGGGAGAUUCCAGCACAGUUCAGCCAUAAGGAGAGCACUGACAUAAUGGUAGGUCCCACACCUGAUGACAUAGGAGUUCCAUGAAAGCAGAGGGGAAACAAUAAACCCAAAGCCUGGGUACAGUUGUCAACGCACAAAUCCAUAAACCAA